Molecule: transfer RNA, 84 nt
Filed under: Felis catus (domestic cat)
Lineage: Eukaryota; Metazoa; Chordata; Mammalia; Carnivora; Felidae
Description: tRNA-Sup (TCA) (tRNA-Sup-TCA-7-1)
Rfam family: tRNA
About the family: Transfer RNA (tRNA) molecules are approximately 80 nucleotides in length. Their secondary structure includes four short double-helical elements and three loops (D, anti-codon, and T loops). Further hydrogen bonds mediate the characteristic L-shaped molecular structure. tRNAs have two regions of fundamental functional importance: the anti-codon, which is responsible for specific mRNA codon recognition, and the 3' end, to which the tRNAs corresponding amino acid is attached (by aminoacyl-tRNA synthetases). tRNAs cope with the degeneracy of the genetic code in two manners: having more than one tRNA (with a specific anti-codon) for a particular amino acid; and 'wobble' base-pairing, i.e. permitting non-standard base-pairing at the 3rd anti-codon position.
Source: Rfam by way of RNAcentral
GCCUGGGUGGCUCAGUGGGUUAAGCGUCUGACUUCAGCUCAGGUCAUGAUUUCAUGGUUGUGGGUUUGAGCCCCACGUCAGGCU